GAUGAACGCUGGCGGCGUGCCUAAUACAUGCAAGUCGAGCGAACGGACGAGAAGCUUGCUUCUCUGAUGUUAGCGGCGGAUGGUGAGUAACACGUGGAUAACCUACCUAUAGGACUGGGAUAACUUCGGGAAACCGGAGCUAAUACCGGAUGAUAUUUUGAACCGCAUGGUUCAAAAGUGAAAGACGGUCUUGCUGUCACUUAUAGAUGGAUCCGCGCUGCAUUAGCUAGUUGGUAAGGUAACGGCUUACCAAGGCAACGAUGCAUAGCCGACCUGAGAGGGUGAUCGGCCACACUGGAACUGAGAUACGGUCCAGACUCCUACGGGAGGCAGCAGUAGGGAAUCUUCCGCAAUGGGCGAAAGCCUGACGGAGCAACGCCGCGUGAGUGAUGAAGGUCUUCGGAUCGUAAAACUCUGUUAUUAGGGAAGAACAUAUGUGUAAGUAACUGUGCACAUCUUGACGGUACCUAAUCAGAAAGCCACGGCUAACUACGUG
RNAcentral lists this ribosomal RNA (496 nucleotides) under uncultured bacterium. Its description in RNAcentral is "partial 16S ribosomal RNA". It matches the Rfam family "Bacterial small subunit ribosomal RNA", at positions 28 to 507 of the family's 1533-position model. The record is from RNAcentral.